This 497-nucleotide ribosomal RNA is filed under the name uncultured bacterium. RNAcentral describes it as "partial 16S ribosomal RNA". It matches the Rfam family "Bacterial small subunit ribosomal RNA", at positions 28 to 507 of the family's 1533-position model. The record is from RNAcentral.
GAUGAACGCUGGCGGCGUGCCUAAUACAUGCAAGUCGAGCGAACGGACGAGAAGCUUGCUUCUCUGAUGUUAGCGGCGGACGGGGGAGUAACACGUGGAUAACCUACCUAUAAGACUGGGAUAACUUCGGGAAACCGGAGCUAAUACCGGAUAAUAUUUUGAACCGCAUGGUUCAAAAGUGAAAGACGGUCUUGCUGUCACUUAUAGAUGGAUCCGCGCUGCAUUAGCUAGUUGGUAAGGUAACGGCUUACCAAGGCAACGAUGCAUAGCCGACCUGAGAGGGUGAUCGGCCACACUGGAACUGAGACACGGUCCAGACUCCUACGGGAGGCAGCAGUAGGGAAUCUUCCGCAAUGGGCGAAAGCCUGACGGAGCAACGCCGCGUGAGUGAUGAAGGUCUUCGGAUCGUAAAACUCUGUUAUUAGGGAAGAACAUAUGUGUAAGUAACUGUGUACAUCUUGACGGUACCUAAUCAGAAAGCCACGGCUAACUACGUG